GGGGGCGACUUGGCUUCGACGGCGGUCGCGAACUCCGACGUGCAUGCCGAGAGGGUAGUGACUCUCGUUAAUCAAUCGCUGCAACCUUUUAUAGUUGCCAACGACGAAAACUACGCGCUAGCGGCGUAAGCCGCUUGUCUCGGGAAGACGGCGCCCGCAACGGCGACCCGAGGGCAAAGGCUUGCGGGAUAGCGCCGCCGAGUGCCUCCGGCGGCGGCGCGAAACUUGAGGAGGCUCGCCCAACGGCACCCCGACCGCCGGGUCGCCAACGGGCCAAAGCAAUAGGCGGCUCUAAGCAUGUAGAGCGAAAGACGGAGCACCGACGGACGCGGGUUCGACUCCCGCCGCCUCCACCA
This 356-nucleotide transfer-messenger RNA is filed under the name Pseudomonadales. RNAcentral describes it as "VXYL01 sp009837725 Standard tmRNA". It matches the Rfam family "transfer-messenger RNA". Rfam says of the family: Bacterial tmRNA, also known as 10Sa RNA or SsrA, is named for its dual tRNA and mRNA-like properties. Its role is to liberate the mRNA from a stalled ribosome. The record is from RNAcentral. RNAcentral also lists the same sequence under 1 other name. Lineage: Bacteria; Pseudomonadati; Pseudomonadota; Gammaproteobacteria.